UACGUAGGGGGCAAGCGUUGUCCGGAUUUAUUGGGCGUAAAGAGCGUGUAGGCGGUCAGGUAGGUCCGUUGUGAAAACUCGAGGCUCAACCUCGAGACGCCGAUGGAAACCAUCUGACUAGAGUCCGGAAGAGGAGAGUGGAAUUCCGGUGGAGCGGUGAAAUGCGUAGAGAUCGGAAAGAACACCAACGGCGAAAGCACUCUGCUGGGCCGACACUGACACUGAGAGACGAAAGCUAGGGGAGCGAAUGGG
Molecule: ribosomal RNA, 252 nt
Filed under: uncultured bacterium
Lineage: Bacteria
Description: partial 16S ribosomal RNA
Rfam family: Bacterial small subunit ribosomal RNA
Source: RNAcentral